Molecule: long non-coding RNA, 592 nt
Organism: Solanum tuberosum (potato)
Lineage: Eukaryota; Viridiplantae; Streptophyta; Magnoliopsida; Solanales; Solanaceae
Exons: 3
Source: RefSeq, a predicted model, not a curated record
UGUUUGUGUUCACUUGAUUCAGUAGUGAAUGGUUUUUCCUAAUGUGUUUGUACCUUUAUGCUUGUAGAACAAAAUAGCCUAGUUAGAUUUACUAUCUCCAUGUCCUAACUUCGAUAUAUUUUUAUUUUUUGUUACUAUUUGGUGACCUAUCUGCUUUAGGAGCUGAAUGUAAAUGAAAAUAUUUAUUAAUGGGUUGUGAGAACGAUAACAUGUCUAACGAUCAAGAUGAGCAUCGUAAAGUAGGCGGAAGAGAAGACAAAGCACAACUAUCAUGUAAAGCAGACCACAGGAGAAUCUUAACAAAUUGAAAUGACAGUGAAAAUCCAGCAAUUCAAAAGAGACCUUGUGUUUUUCAGUCUUCACAAGGGAAUGUGGCAGGUCAUCUCUAGCCACUUUUACAUUGAUGUUUAAUUUUUUAAGUGUAUGUACGUAGUUACACUUGAUGAAUUUGGACUUUUUUUCAGAUUUUGAAAACUCAAUUUAUCAUUCAAGAUGAAGAUUUCAAAAACAUCAUACAACCUAACAAGGCGAUUAUCAUUUGGCUCUUGUUGAUGAAUAUAUGAACAAUAGUUGCCAAUCAAAUAUGUUGUUU